AGGAGUGUCAUCUGCUGUAUUUGGUCUGGACUGCCAUUCGCACAAAGCCAGAGAUGAUAAAGCACUCUACUUCUAUUAAUAUCAAUGAAGGGACUGAAGUACAGGACGGUCAUUUCGAAAAAACAUGACACAUAGUAUCUUAAGGUUACACAACAAAUAAAUUGAAUUACUUUACUGAAAAACUAAA
This is a long non-coding RNA of Drosophila mojavensis, 187 nucleotides long. RefSeq lists it as uncharacterized. Lineage: Eukaryota; Metazoa; Arthropoda; Insecta; Diptera; Drosophilidae. The record is from RefSeq and is a predicted model, not a curated record. The transcript has 2 exons.